RNAcentral lists this transfer RNA (92 nucleotides) under Felis catus (domestic cat). It matches the Rfam family "tRNA". Rfam says of the family: Transfer RNA (tRNA) molecules are approximately 80 nucleotides in length. Their secondary structure includes four short double-helical elements and three loops (D, anti-codon, and T loops). The record is from Rfam by way of RNAcentral. Lineage: Eukaryota; Metazoa; Chordata; Mammalia; Carnivora; Felidae.
GCCUGGGUGGCUUAGUCGGUUAAGUGUCUGACUCUUGACCUCGGCUCAGGUCCUGAUCUCACAGUUCAUGGGUUCGAACCCCAACUGGGGCU